UAACAACAUAACUUUAAGUCGUGCUACAACAAAGUUUUUUAAGCCAUGUAGGAUUUUUGAAACCAAAUGGUUAGAUAAAAAGAAUGAUGGUAUAAAGGUAAGGAGUGUUACUAUCCAAAAAGAACAGUUAUUUUUAAUAGGGUUAAAAGAAAAAUAGAACCACCCAAUCACAAACGUUUAUCAUCUUUUCUCUUUCACUCUCCUCUCGCUGCACAGGUGUGACGAGGCUUUCUUGGCGAUGCUUCUAGCGACUUUGAUGGAAAUGGUUUUGGCGAGGAUAGCGAGAUGGAGGCGAGUCUCUAGCCACUCCCUCAAGCCUAAAUCUAAAUCUGAAUUUCAUAAAACUGGUAUCAUCUAUUCUUUUCUUCCAUAUUUUUAAGUAUGUGGUUAUUUUUUAUAUUUUAUUUAAGAGAAAUUAAAUAUACUUUUAUUCAAGGUUCUAAAUAACGUAAGGCGUGACUUGGCGGCAAUGUCAAGCCUCAAGCUUUUCCGAGCCUUGGCGAUACAUGACGUUUGUAAGGCGUGACUUAAGGCAGCAAUUUUUUAUAUAAAUAAUAUUUUUAUAUGUAUUUUCAGUUAUUAUUCA
Molecule: long non-coding RNA, 586 nt
Filed under: Lactuca sativa (garden lettuce)
Lineage: Eukaryota; Viridiplantae; Streptophyta; Magnoliopsida; Asterales; Asteraceae
Description: long non-coding RNA (LSAT_LNC009580)
Source: RNAcentral